AAGUCGUAACAAGGUUUCCGUAGGUGAACCUGCGGAAGGAUCAUUAAAAAGGAUGCCGAGUAAUCGGUAUACCCCACCCGUGUCUAUAUACUCUUGUUGCUUUGGCAGGCCGUGGCCUCCACCGUGGGCUCUGCCUGCGUGUGCCUGCCAGAGGACCAAACUCUGAAUUUUAGUGAUGUCUGAGUACUAUAUAAUAGUUAAAACUUUCAACAACGGAUCUCUUGGUUCUG
Molecule: unclassified non-coding RNA, 230 nt
Filed under: air metagenome
Description: partial contains small subunit ribosomal RNA, internal transcribed spacer 1, and 5.8S ribosomal RNA
Rfam family: Eukaryotic small subunit ribosomal RNA (bases 1-46)
Source: RNAcentral